This 292-nucleotide ribosomal RNA is filed under the name uncultured bacterium. RNAcentral's name for it is "partial 16S ribosomal RNA". It matches the Rfam family "Bacterial small subunit ribosomal RNA", at positions 505 to 796 of the family's 1533-position model. The record is from RNAcentral.
GUGUCAGCCGCCGCGGUAAUACGUAGGUGGCGAGCGUUAUUCGGAUUUAUUGGGCGUAAAGGGUUCGUAGGGGGUUGGCUAAGUCGGAUGUGAAAGCCUGCGGCUCAACUGCAGAAUGCCAUUCGAUACUGGCUGACUAGAGGAUCGGAGAGGAGAGUGGAAUUCCUGGUGUAGCGGUGGAAUGCGUAGAUAUCAGGAGGAACGCCGAUGGCGAAGGCAGCUCUCUGGACGAUACCUGACCCUGAGGAACGAAAGCCGGGGGAGCAAACAGGAUUAGAAACCCGUGUAGUCC